RNAcentral lists this non-coding RNA (118 nucleotides) under pig gut metagenome. Its description in RNAcentral is "FMN riboswitch (RFN element)". It matches the Rfam family "FMN riboswitch aptamer (RFN element)". Rfam says of the family: The RFN element is a highly conserved domain that is found frequently in the 5'-untranslated regions of prokaryotic mRNAs that encode for flavin mononucleotide (FMN) biosynthesis and transport proteins. This element is a metabolite-dependent riboswitch that directly binds FMN in the absence of proteins. The record is from RNAcentral.
AUAUUCGGGGCAUGGUGUAAUUCCAGACCGGUGGUAAUAGUCCGCGAGCGAUUUAGAAACUAAAUUGCUGAAUUGGUGAAAUUCCAAUACCGAUAGUAAAAGUCUAGAUGAAAGGAUA